RNAcentral lists this transfer RNA (75 nucleotides) under Candidatus Sulfuritelmatomonas gaucii. RNAcentral describes it as "Candidatus Sulfotelmatomonas gaucii tRNA-Gly". It matches the Rfam family "tRNA". Rfam says of the family: Transfer RNA (tRNA) molecules are approximately 80 nucleotides in length. The record is from RNAcentral. Lineage: Bacteria; Pseudomonadati; Acidobacteriota; Terriglobia; Terriglobales; Acidobacteriaceae.
GCGGGAGUAGUUCAGUGGUAGAACGUCAGCUUCCCAAGCUGAAUGUCGCGAGUUCGAUCCUCGUCUCCCGCUCCA